CAGCCGCCGCGGUAAUACGUAGGGUGCGAGCGUUAAUCGGAAUUACUGGGCGUAAAGCGUGCGCAGGCGGUUCGUUAAGACAGAUGUGAAAUCCCCGGGCUUAACCUGGGAACUGCAUUUGUGACUGGCGAGCUAGAGUAUGGCAGAGGGGGGUAGAAUUCCACGUGUAGCAGUGAAAUGCGUAGAGAUGUGGAGGAAUACCGAUGGCGAAGGCAGCCCCCUGGGUCAAUACUGACGCUCAUGCACGAAAGCGUGGGGAGCAAACAGGAUUAGAUACCCCUGUAGUCCCUGUCUCUUAUAC
Molecule: ribosomal RNA, 301 nt
Filed under: uncultured bacterium
Lineage: Bacteria
Description: partial 16S ribosomal RNA
Rfam family: Bacterial small subunit ribosomal RNA
Source: RNAcentral